Molecule: non-coding RNA, 75 nt
Organism: Schistosoma haematobium
Lineage: Eukaryota; Metazoa; Platyhelminthes; Trematoda; Strigeidida; Schistosomatidae
Source: Rfam
ACCCUUCUGAAUCCGUGCCGAGAUUUCAGACACCAGACCAUCAGUACCGAUGAGACUCCCAAGAUAAGCGGAGCG